UAGGGAAUAUUGGUCAAUGGAUGCAAGUCUGAACCAGCCAUGCCGCGUGCAGGAAGAAGGCCUUCUGGGUUGUAAACUGCUUUUGUCAGGGGAUAAAAUGAGCGUGCGCGCUUAAUUGAAGGUACCUGGCGAAUAAGCCACGGCUAACUACGUGCCAGCAGCCGCGGUAAUACGUAGGUGGCAAGCGUUGUCCGGAUUUAUUGGGUUUAAAGGGUGCGUAGGCGGCCUUUUAAGUCAGUGCUGAAAUACUCUAGCUUAACUAGAGGGGUGGCAUUGAUACUGAAAGGCUUGAGUGAAGUCGAAGUAGGCGGAAUUGACGGUGUAGCGGUGAAAUGCUUAGAUAUCGUCAAGAACACCGAUAGUGAAGACAGCUUACUAGACUUCAACUGACGCUGAGGCACGAAAGUGUGGGGAUCAAAC
This 420-nucleotide ribosomal RNA is filed under the name uncultured bacterium. Its description in RNAcentral is "bacterial SSU rRNA". It matches the Rfam family "Bacterial small subunit ribosomal RNA", at positions 355 to 773 of the family's 1533-position model. The record is from RNAcentral.